UACGUAGGGGGCGAGCGUUGUCCGGAAUUACUGGGCGUAAAGGGUGCGUAGGCGGCGGUACAAGUCCAUUGUGAAAAGCCCGGGCUUAACCUGGGAGGUGCAGUGGAAACUGUAUGGCUUGAGUGCAGGAGAGGAAAGCGGAAUUCCUAGUGUAGCGGUGAAAUGCGUAGAUAUUAGGAGGAACACCAGUGGCGAAGGCGGCUUUCUGGACUGUAACUGACGCUGAGGCACGAAAGCGUGGGGAGCAAACAGG
This 253-nucleotide ribosomal RNA is filed under the name uncultured bacterium. RNAcentral's name for it is "partial 16S ribosomal RNA". It matches the Rfam family "Bacterial small subunit ribosomal RNA", at positions 524 to 776 of the family's 1533-position model. The record is from RNAcentral.